Syngnathoides biaculeatus (alligator pipefish) is the source of this 572-nucleotide long non-coding RNA. RefSeq lists it as uncharacterized. Lineage: Eukaryota; Metazoa; Chordata; Actinopteri; Syngnathiformes; Syngnathidae. The record is from RefSeq and is a predicted model, not a curated record. The transcript is spliced from 3 exons.
GCCAGGGGGGGGGGGGGGGGGAUUUUUUAGGUGGUCUCUCUCUCUCCGGGUGUCAGUAUCAGCACUUUGCUGGUCCUCGGAGCCCCUCGGGUGGCAAAACUGUCGCCACUUGCGGAACCGCACGCCAUUUCCUCGGUUGAGCGGUUUGAUUUGGGGAAAACGUGGCGGCCUCCUCCUACCGCCUCCCGGUCCCGGUCUCCAGGACGCGAGAACAAGCCGCUCCCGUCCGACCUCCAGCCGAGGGGAAUGUUUUGCUCCAGCUCGGUGGCUCUCUCUUUCUCUGCCUCCCUCCGUCUUUUUCCCCACCUCUUCCCGUAAAAAAACGACAUCUCGACGUGAGGGCUGACGAUACGAGCUCACGACGCGUGUCCUCGACGCGACCCAGACGGACCGCACGGGAUUAUCGCGUGUUCCCCAUCGGAAACGCAAGACAGCCAAUUACGACAGUCUAGAAGUCUUGUUGCACCACAGUGCCUCCCACAGACAACGUGAGUCAGAGACCCGACCUGACCUGACCUGAAGGCUCCGGCGACUAUCAGGAUAAAAAGAGAGGAAAGAGCGAGAAGAAACAG